GUAUUUACUUGUGUUUUCCUACAAUUAUCUGAACAGUAAAUGGACAGAAAUAAAAAUAGGACAGACUGACAUCAUCAUGAAGAAUUGGCCCACAUUUGAGAACUGCAUUAAUUGUGUCAUUAAAGCAGUGUGGUUUCAAGUGUAUCAAGUUUGGAAUGGCACAGACGUUAGGGAAAUUCAUUAUCUGAAUUUCUCUGGGCUUCAAACUGGGUAAGUGUAGAUAAUUCACAUUUCACAACAAAAUAAGGUACUUAAAGUAUAAAAUAAAUAUCUAUGAGUGCAAACUGACCUUAAAAAGUUAUUGAAUAAAUGAAUGGGGAGAAUAGACAAAUCUUCUUUGAAGAAGAAUUCCAAAUAACUUAUGUAGAUAGUACCUUCUUGUUUUAGUCAGGGUUCUUCAGAGAAGCAAACCAACAAAAUGUGUGUGUGUGUGUGUGUACAUAUACACACACACAAGCAUAU
RNAcentral lists this long non-coding RNA (462 nucleotides) under Macaca mulatta (Rhesus monkey). Its description in RNAcentral is "lncRNA (ENSMMUG00000057480.1)". The record is from RNAcentral. Lineage: Eukaryota; Metazoa; Chordata; Mammalia; Primates; Cercopithecidae.